RNAcentral lists this ribosomal RNA (253 nucleotides) under uncultured bacterium. Its description in RNAcentral is "partial 16S ribosomal RNA". It matches the Rfam family "Bacterial small subunit ribosomal RNA", at positions 524 to 776 of the family's 1533-position model. The record is from RNAcentral.
UACGUAGGGUGCAAGCGUUGUCCGGAAUUAUUGGGCGUAAAGAGCUCGUAGGCGGUUUGUUGCGUCGGCUGUGAAAACCUAAGGCUCAACCUUGGGCUUGCAGUGGGUACGGGCAGACUAGAGUGCGGUAGGGGUGACUGGAAUUCCUGGUGUAGCGGUGGAAUGCGCAGAUAUCAGGAGGAACACCGAUGGCGAAGGCAGGUCACUGGGCCGCAACUGACGCUGAGGAGCGAAAGCAUGGGGAGCGAACAGG